UUGGGGAAUGCUGUAUUACUACAUAGUUUUCAGACCAGACAGCCAUGUACCUUUAAGACAGUUACAUGACAUCCUGACUAUUGUGGUAUGUCUCAGUGUCACGACAACAGAUCAGAACCCUAAGUACUUGUUAAAUGACAUAUGACCAAAAGAUGAAUGCAGGUGUAAAUUCAGUAACUGACAGAGGAACACUGGAAUGUCAUACCUGAAGCUGCUAAGGGCACUUAAAGCAACAAAGCUUCAAAAGGGAGAUGGGCACGUAAAAAAAAAACUGUGAAUUCCCUAUGUCUACAGAUAUAGAGGGGUUGACUAACCCUACUUUUGGCAGUGUGGCACUUCCUGUGAAUUAUGUCCCAAACUUCAGACAUAUUUGAAUGUUCCCCUUUCAAGAAUACACAAGAAUGAGAAUUAAAAGCUAGUUUCCACCUUGUCUCUUUGUUCCAGUAGGUGAAGAUGUCUGUUAUGAGGGUCAUAGCUGUGAAAAUCCCUAGUCACUCCUGAGCUACACCUCGGUGAAUAUCGGGUAGAUGACAGCUGUGGACUUCAAAGCAUUCAGGAAAUAAGGAGGACCAAUGGCUGAAGAUGACAUCGGCUCACUUCAGUACAGGCAUGUCUGUCCCUCUUCUUCGUGACCUAUAGUGCUGACCUAACCAGAGAUAUUCCCCAAAACUGAUGGUGCCUGAAAUGUGCCUCUAACUUUAAAUAGGUUUCUCAAUGGAAACACAGACAAAUAUUGAGGUUGUUGAAGUUGGUUGGCUCGUCGAGCUGGUUUCUUGUUUCGCAGACGUUUCGUUACCAUGCUUGGUAACAUCCUCAGUGCAGCCUCCG
Long non-coding RNA from Rhincodon typus (whale shark), 828 nucleotides. RefSeq lists it as uncharacterized. The transcript has 3 exons. Lineage: Eukaryota; Metazoa; Chordata; Chondrichthyes; Orectolobiformes; Rhincodontidae. The record is from RefSeq and is a predicted model, not a curated record.